GUUCAUUCCUGAAUAUGUACUAAAAUUGGAACAAUACAGGGAAGAUCAGCAUGGCCCCGGCGUAGGUAUGCCACGCAAAUUCGUGAAGCGUUCCAAAAUUUU
Non-coding RNA from Oesophagostomum dentatum (nodular worm), 102 nucleotides. NCBI's taxonomy places the organism in Eukaryota, Metazoa, Nematoda, Chromadorea, Rhabditida, Strongylidae. The record is from Rfam.